GCGGGGAGCUCUCCCGAGCUGGUUUGGGCCGAACGCGUGGGCCGAGCUCCUGGGCCGCAGUGACACAGUGCUGUUUUGUUUUUCUUUUUCUUUUAUGCAGUUUUUUUGAUUUAUAUUUGAAUUUGUGAAGUAAAUUUUGUGCUAAUCCAAAAAUUAAAAAAAUUUUGUAUGGAUUUCUUAAAAUGAGUAGAGCACAUGAAAAAUAUUAGAUUCCAUUUUC
Molecule: long non-coding RNA, 220 nt
Filed under: Sorghum bicolor (sorghum)
Lineage: Eukaryota; Viridiplantae; Streptophyta; Magnoliopsida; Poales; Poaceae
Description: long non-coding RNA (SBIC_LNC007082)
Source: RNAcentral